Molecule: ribosomal RNA, 735 nt
Filed under: Streptomyces sp. MBRL 18
Lineage: Bacteria; Bacillati; Actinomycetota; Actinomycetes; Kitasatosporales; Streptomycetaceae
Description: bacterial SSU rRNA
Rfam family: Bacterial small subunit ribosomal RNA
Source: RNAcentral
AGCCCUUCGGGGUGGAUUAGUGGCGAACGGGUGAGUAACACGUGGGCAAUCUGCCCUUCACUCUGGGACAAGCCCUGGAAACGGGGUCUAAUACCGGAUAACACCGGCUUCCGCAUGGGAGCUGGUUAAAAGCUCCGGCGGUGAAGGAUGAGCCCGCGGCCUAUCAGCUUGUUGGUGGGGUAAUGGCCUACCAAGGCGACGACGGGUAGCCGGCCUGAGAGGGCGACCGGCCACACUGGGACUGAGACACGGCCCAGACUCCUACGGGAGGCAGCAGUGGGGAAUAUUGCACAAUGGGCGAAAGCCUGAUGCAGCGACGCCGCGUGAGGGAUGACGGCCUUCGGGUUGUAAACCUCUUUCAGCAGGGAAGAAGCGAAAGUGACGGUACCUGCAGAAGAAGCGCCGGCUAACUACGUGCCAGCAGCCGCGGUAAUACGUAGGGCGCAAGCGUUGUCCGGAAUUAUUGGGCGUAAAGAGCUCGUAGGCGGCUUGUCACGUCGGGUGUGAAAGCCCGGGGCUUAACCCCGGGUCUGCAUCCGAUACGGGCAGGCUAGAGUGUGGUAGGGGAGAUCGGAAUUCCUGGUGUAGCGGUGAAAUGCGCAGAUAUCAGGAGGAACACCGGUGGCGAAGGCGGAUCUCUGGGCCAUUACUGACGCUGAGGAGCGAAAGCGUGGGGAGCGAACAGGAUUAGAUACCCUGGUAGUCCACGCCGUAAACGUUGGGAACUAGGUGUUG